UUUGAGCUAGUUUUUCAGUAAAAAGUAAAUGCUUUUACAAUUAAGCAAGAGAGGAAACUUUGAUUUCCAAGAUAGCCUUUGAGCUAAGUUUUGAGAAAUUAUCUCAAACCACAGAAAAAAGAGCUAGUAUGAUAUUUUGGGAGUAGUAUUGAGCACCGAUAUUGGGGAGAGUUUAGACAACUCGCAGCCCCCAUAAAUCAUGUAGCCAUCAUGGGUAGAAAAGAGUCAUACUUUUUAGAUGAUUCCUUAGUGAUUUUUAGCAUAGACUAGUAGAUCCACUUAGUAGUCAGGUUGUAUACCCUCGGCAAGGUAUAUGAUGGCCUCGGCAGCGGGA
RNAcentral lists this long non-coding RNA (334 nucleotides) under Solanum tuberosum (potato). RNAcentral describes it as "long non-coding RNA (STUB_LNC000168)". Lineage: Eukaryota; Viridiplantae; Streptophyta; Magnoliopsida; Solanales; Solanaceae. The record is from RNAcentral.